CUCCCACAUCUCCUUUAAGUGACCCUGUCUCAGUCACUGUUCAGGAAACCGAAACAGCUGUGCAAUUUUGGCAGGGAGCAGUGGGUGUGGCUUCUGGAGUGGCCGUGUUCCUGAUGGGAUUGACAGCUGUCUAUCUCUGCAGAAGGACCAGUGAUUUGGUGAUGGGAGCAGUGAGCAGUGCAGGCAUGUUGGAUUCAAGGGAUGCUGGGAUCUAUUCUCCCAUCACCACUGUACCGUCCACGUUCUUGCCCUCAGGCCCUGUUGAAGAAAAUGGAAUGUCACCUGAAAACGACAAUUCUGAUACGUACCACAUAUACAGCUCAAUCCCUGACAGACCAGCAACCUCAGCCCAGCCGGAUGGGUUGUACAGUCUGCAGACACACUGACACUACACCACUGGCUUUGUGUAGCUAUGUCUCAAACAUCUCACACAAAUACCCUCU
Oncorhynchus tshawytscha (Chinook salmon) is the source of this 443-nucleotide long non-coding RNA. Lineage: Eukaryota; Metazoa; Chordata; Actinopteri; Salmoniformes; Salmonidae. The record is from Ensembl.